UGCGGCCUACGGGACGCAGCAGUGGGGAAUAUUGGGCAAUGGGCGCAAGCCUGACCCAGCAACGCCGCGUGAAGGAAGAAGGCUUUCGGGUUGUAAACUUCUUUUGACAGGGAAGAGCAGAAGACGGUACCUGUUGAAUAAGCCACGGCUAACUACGUGCCAGCAGCCGCGGUAAUACGUAGGUGGCAAGCGUUAUCCGGAUUUAUUGGGUGUAAAGGGCGUGUAGGCGGGAUU
This 234-nucleotide ribosomal RNA is filed under the name uncultured bacterium. RNAcentral's name for it is "partial 16S ribosomal RNA". It matches the Rfam family "Bacterial small subunit ribosomal RNA", at positions 333 to 582 of the family's 1533-position model. The record is from RNAcentral.